AAAUCGUAGUGCUUUUGUGUGAGCAGAAAAGAGCUCACUGAGAGCUCAUUUCCAGAUCGCACUGAUGAACCUCACAUGGGAGAGACCGCAGAGGCAGAGCAGCGUUGGUGAGCUGCCCUCGUGUUCAGGUGCUCCUGCAGGCAGAGACCACCUGCAAGGAUGGGGCUGCCUUCAGGUCAGGGGCUACCGAAAAAGGUAGGAACAUUUCUGCAGCAUUUCCUCUUAAGAGAGGCUUUAAUCCACAGCAAGGACUAAAAAGCUUCAGUUGGUGCUCAGUCAUAGGAAACGAACAGCACAGCACAGAGCAGGGAGGGUCCCUGAGACACAGCAGGGAAAAGACUUCCCCUCAACAUUUUUGACUGCUUCAGAGGUGUAUUCAGUUUACCUCUUGUGUUUGUUUCUACAGAUGUAAUUAAACCCCCUCUAGCUACCUACAAACAGGCACCAAAACUGUUGUUUUGGAUAGGACCUCAAAUCAGCUUUGGGCCAGAAGAUUGAAUACAUGAUUUGCUCAAGUCAUUUUUGCAACGGCUUCCAUCAUUUUAUAAAACUCCCUGCACUCUGCAGACCUGUGCAGAUCACUGGAAGAUAGAAAUGUCAUUUCUAAGGAUGAGUACAUUUUAAUCCUUUUGGUUUCAGUAGAGGAGCCAUUCCUGAUGCUCACAAACACGUGGAAGAUUUAUGGUGUGUUUAUGGCUGAUGUAGAAGUGGACUCAGUUUUAUGGCUGAACUGUUAAAUUUCAUUAGCUAAAAUGGACAUACAUAGGUGAGGUUCACAUAAGCUGUAUAUUUUCCAUAGAAACAUCCUCUCCAUAAAGCAUUUCUGUGGCCCUCACCCCAUUUUACUCCCAGCUCUGGGCAUCUCCUUUGAGCUCCCACACAGAUUCCACGGCGCCAUGUGAACGGCCUCAGGUGGACAAUGGCUCAGCUCGAGCCAAGAGUGAUGCUGCUGUUGGCUGCACGCCCUGCACAGGGCACGCACAGCAUCACACAAAGAGCAACAAGCUGCAGCUGCCCCGCUUCUGGAUGUGAUCUGUCAAGCACAGCUCAGAUGCCGAAUUCCAGCAAACUGCCUUCCAUUCAGCACUGCCUUAAAUACAGAGCUAUUAAUGGACCGUGCUUGCAGUGUCAGGCUAAAGAUGCACACACAAAUAACUGAAGAUCCACUGACGCAGAGAGG
This 1180-nucleotide long non-coding RNA is filed under the name Phasianus colchicus (ring-necked pheasant). Its description in RNAcentral is "lncRNA (ENSPCLG00000010183.1)". The record is from RNAcentral. Lineage: Eukaryota; Metazoa; Chordata; Aves; Galliformes; Phasianidae.